RNAcentral lists this ribosomal RNA (253 nucleotides) under uncultured bacterium. RNAcentral describes it as "partial 16S ribosomal RNA". It matches the Rfam family "Bacterial small subunit ribosomal RNA", at positions 524 to 776 of the family's 1533-position model. The record is from RNAcentral.
GACAGAGGGGGCAAGCGUUGCUCGGAAUUACUGGGCGUAAAGGGCGCGUAGGCGGGAUGGCAAGUCGGUCGUGAAAUCCUUCGGCUCAACCGAAGAACGUCGAUCGAUACUGCUGUUCUUGAGGGUUGCAGAGGAGACUGGAAUUCCCGGUGUAGCGGUGAAAUGUGUAGAGAUCGGGAGGAAUACCGGUGGCGAAGGCGGCAUCCUGGACCGACAUUGACGCUGAGGAGCGAAAGCUAGGGGAGCAAACGGG